Molecule: ribosomal RNA, 406 nt
Filed under: uncultured bacterium
Lineage: Bacteria
Description: partial 16S ribosomal RNA
Rfam family: Bacterial small subunit ribosomal RNA
Source: RNAcentral
AUUGAACGCUGGCGGCAGGCCUAACACAUGCAAGUCGAACGAGUGGCGGACGGGUGAGUAAUGUCUGGGAAACUGCCUGAUGGAGGGGGAUGACUACUGGAAACGGUAGCUAAUUCCGCAUACAAUCGGAUGGGCCCAGACUGGCUUAGCUAGUAGGUGGGGGAAAGGUUCAAUUAGGCGACGAGCCCUAGCUGGUCUGAGAGGAUGACCAGGCACACUGGAACUGAGACACGGUCCAAAGUCCUACGGGAGGCAGCAGUGGGGAAUAUUGCACAAUGGGCGCAAGCCUGAUGCAGCCAUGCCGCGUGUAUGAAGAAGGCCUGCGGGUUGUAAAGUACUUUCAGCGGUGAGGCGUUACCCGCAGAAGAAGCACCGGCUAACUCCGUGCCAGCAGCCGCGGUAAUAC